This is a long non-coding RNA of Solenopsis invicta (red fire ant), 1329 nucleotides long. RefSeq lists it as uncharacterized. The transcript is spliced from 2 exons. The record is from RefSeq and is a predicted model, not a curated record. Lineage: Eukaryota; Metazoa; Arthropoda; Insecta; Hymenoptera; Formicidae.
UGUUCGCUUCGCACCCGAUUCUCCUUGCACGUAGAAGUAUAUUCGCGUUUUUGUAUGCUGUGAAUAUUCGUACGAAAUAGCCAUCGCUCUGAGACGCGCGCGUUAGAUCUUUCUCUCACUCUCUUGUGGAGUGGUGUGAUGACAUGAAGUUAGCGACGGCGAGUCUCUCUCGGGAGCUUCGUUCGUCCGCUGCAACGUUCAUGUCGUUUGUACGCGUUUCCCUUCGCGUGACGUCAUCGAUGUCGCGGCGGAGUUUUCUUUGCAUGUACGUCCGAGUUUUUGUGAGUAAUCUGCAGUAAGAUAAACGUUCGGAUGAGACAGCGAGAUCGCUCUGAGACGCGCGCGUUGGUGUUCUUGCGGGACAGAGUGAAAGAUCCAGGUGAUUGACAGGAUCUGAGAGGAGGCGGAGGCCCGGGAGGCAUCGGGCAACGGCGGAACCCUGUGGUCAACGUGGCGGUACGACUCCGCUGCUGCGCAUCGUGUGAUGUCGGUGAGUGAGAAAUUAUAACGCUUACAAUUAGAUUGGAAUCGUGAAUUCAUGUAAGAUAUUUAUGCAAAUGUAUAUUUUGCGUAUACGUAUUAAGUUAAAAACAUUACAAAUAUAAUAUAAAAUUUUAUGGAUUCAAGAUAAAUGGGUUAAAAUAACGUAUAUUAAUGUUCAUUUCCACCAAUGUAGAUCAACUUUGAUCUCAAUUUAACUUACUCAUUAUCUAUUUCUAAUUUUUAGAACUAGAAAAGAAUAAAGAGUGAAUUGAACUGAGAUCAAAGUCAAUCUACAUUGAUGAAAAUGGACAUAAGAAGAACCAAGAGAAGAACUAUUAUUAGCUUGACUAAAGUCUUCAACUUGAUUUUUUUCACUUGAACCAUUAUUGUAUUUAUGUAUUUCAUUUAAAUAUGUAUUUGAGUUAAAUACUUGAACUUCAGUUUAAUUUAUAUUUAAUUUAACUACAUGUAUAUUUCACUUAAAUACUUGAACUGAAGAAAAUCAAUCAGGUUGAAAAAUUUAGUCAAUUUAAUAACUUUUUUUCUCAGUGUAAAUACUUAAUCCUUUAAAUGAUAUGGUCUUCUAUUACAUAUAAAUGGAAAUUUUUUUUAAUAAUUUCAUUAUUCUUAGGUAAUUUUAAACUAGCUUAAUGUUAAGCCAACCCCAUUCAAUUUUUUUUAAUUUUCUUUGGCUUUCUUAAGCCAAAGAGUUCAAGCACCUAAUUAGCAUUUAAUUUUAAAAUAUUUUAUGCUGAUAGAGAGGGGAGGAGCUAGCUUAAUAGAGGUUGAUACCAGUAUAAGGAUAUAAGGUGAUAAAUAACUCUGGCUACUUUCCGAUAUACACUG